This 393-nucleotide transfer-messenger RNA is filed under the name candidate division KSB3 bacterium. It matches the Rfam family "transfer-messenger RNA". Rfam says of the family: Bacterial tmRNA, also known as 10Sa RNA or SsrA, is named for its dual tRNA and mRNA-like properties. Its role is to liberate the mRNA from a stalled ribosome. The record is from RNAcentral. RNAcentral also lists the same sequence under 1 other name.
GGGGGCGACCUGGCUUCGACGGGAUUAGUUGAGGCUUCAGUUGCGUGCCGAGGUUCCGAGGCCCUCGUUAAACCCGGACUACAACAACUGCAGACGAAUACAAUAUGCCUGCAAUGGCAAUGGCUGCCUAGUGUAGCGUUGUCAGCAUAACCGGGGACCAUAAACUCCCCGGCGUUCAAUGUGUGCUUUGUCCAUGAGCCGCUGCGAACGUCAUUAACGUGGACUAGCGGCUUUUCAUGUGCGGGGUUGAGUCGCGAAAUCUCAACUGCACUCGCGUGUUCUUGAUUUUGUCGGUGGGAGCCUGAACAUGUCAAAAUAACACAUCGACUACGCAUGUAGACGCUGGACGCUGAAUAAUUUCGGACCGGGGUUCGAUUCCCCGCGCCUCCACCA